AGUGAACGCUGGCGGCAUGCCUAACACAUGCAAGUCGAACGGCAACACGGUUAGAGCUUGCGUCUACGGGUGGCGGGUGGCGGAAUAGUGCGGAAUGUAUCCGAUCCUAGUUUUUCACGGGGCAUAACGUUGGCCAACAUCCGAUACUACCUAAUACGUCCAACGGGUGAGCGCAAGGGCUCUUCCGACCUUGGCCGCUUGUUUGAGAUGAUGUCGGAUUAGGUAGUUGGGGGGGUAAAGGCCCACCAAGGCGACGAUCCGUAGCUGGUCUGAGAGGAUGAUCAGCCACACUGGAACUGAGACACGGCCCAGACUCCUACGGGAGGCAGCAGUGGGGAAUUUUGGACAAUGGGCGCAAGCCUGAUCCAGCCAUGCCGCGUGGGUGAAGAAGGCCUUCGGGUUGUAAAACCCUUUUGUUGGGAAAGAAAAGCAGCAUGUUAAUACCCCGCGGUUCUGACGGUACCGAAAGAAUAAGCACCGGCUAACUACGUG
Molecule: ribosomal RNA, 492 nt
Filed under: uncultured bacterium
Lineage: Bacteria
Description: partial 16S ribosomal RNA
Rfam family: Bacterial small subunit ribosomal RNA
Source: RNAcentral